RNAcentral lists this ribosomal RNA (311 nucleotides) under uncultured eukaryote. Its description in RNAcentral is "partial 18S ribosomal RNA". It matches the Rfam family "Eukaryotic small subunit ribosomal RNA", at positions 1470 to 1796 of the family's 1831-position model. The record is from RNAcentral.
CCCCUGGACGUUCUGGGCUGCACGCGCGCUACAAUAAUACGCACAGCGAGUAUCACCGAGCUCGAAAGGGCAAGGUAAACAAUAGAAAAGGUACUGUAAUGGUUAUAGAUCCUUGUAAUUAUUGAUCUUCAACGAGGAAUUCCUAGUAAGUAUGUGUCAUCAUCACGCACUGAUUACGUCCCUGCCCUUUGUACACACCGCCCGUCGCUCCUACCGAUUGAGUGAGCCGAUGAAACUGCCGGAUGUGGACUAUUCAUAGUCUGCAGAAGAUAUUUGAAUCGUAGCGCUUAGAGGAAGGAGAAGUCGUAACA